UUUUGCUCCUCCCAAAGCAGGGGGCGGCUCCACUGUGCUUCUGAUGACCCGGCCGCCGCCGCCGCCCUGCAACCGCUCCCCGGGACCCCUCAACGCUGACACUGAUGACCCGCGGCGGGGGCGCUGGGCGCGGGGUGCGCAGGCCACUGGCCGCGGGCUCUCGGGCCCGCUCCUGCCGCCGGCUUCUGCUGCUUCCGCGUGCCGUGGACACUGCCAGAAUUUGUCAAAGGUCCUAGGAAGAAAAGGCUCUUUCACCCCUCCCCUCAAUGAACAGAUGGCGUGUUUGGACUGUUCGCAUUCGCUCCUCAUAGGUGGGAUCCUGGAGGAAGUUAAGGGGUGCUCCGUUCCCUGGGGAUGGGACAGCAGCUCGCCUUUUUACUAAUAGCUAUAAGGGACUGUCAGACAUUUACCUGACUAGACCUUCACCUCAGAGCUCAGAAGGGGAACAGCUCCAGAACUAAAAGAGAGAGCCUCUGGCAGACCCCAAAAGACAGCAUGUGGAGUGAAGCUGGGCUUCCCUGCCCAAUCACUAGGAUCAUUUAUUGCACAAAUACCUGUAUUUUAAGCUGCAGAUUAUUGUGAAUUUUUGUAUUUUCUUCAUUUCCAUUUAGCUUUUUUUCAAUUUUAGAAUAGCCUUUCUCUAGAUAACUCGAGGAAGUGGGAGACGGAAUUUCCUUUGUUUCUGUCUUGAGCCCAAAGGGACAAUUGAGUGUCAGGUAUGACAGGGAUAAAGGGAGAAACUCAGAAAUAAUGCUUUUGUUUUGUUUUGUUUUGUUUUGAGAUGGAGUCUCGCUCUUGUCGCCCAGGCUGGAGUGCAAUGGCAUGAUCUUGGCUCACUGCAAACUCCACCUCCUGGGUUCAAGCGAUUCUCCUCCUCAGCCUCCCAAGUAGAUGGGCUUACAGGCAAGCGCCAUCACGCCCGGCUAAUUUUGUAUUUUUAGUAGAGAUGGGGUUUCACCAUAUUGGUCAGUCCGGUCUUGAACUCCUGACCUUGUGAUCCACCCACCUUGGCCUCUCAAAGUGCUGGGAUUACAGGCAUGAGCCACCGCACCCAGCCAGAGGAAUGUUUUGGGUGCUACACGUGCAGCCCCUCAUGACUGUAUCUCCUCAGAGCUCUUUUCUUCACAUUCCUGAGUGCUUUGUGUUUUGUUUAUUUAAGGGACAAAUGAAUCUCUUCCCACGCCAUGGGAUUUCCCUUGAUUUUUAUAUUGGGAGUGAAAAGAUGAAGCAUGAGACUCUUCAGCUGCAUCUCGAACUGCAUCUAAUCCCAGCACAUCUCUCUCAAUCUUUGAUUAAGUCUGUUCAUCUAAAAGAGAGACACAGGGGAAAAAUGGAAAUGGGACUUUGGAAGAAUGACCAUCCACAUUCCCAUCACAGCCUGAGAUUUCCUACCUGAUUGAGAUUUUCAGUAGAUGGCCCUAGGUCUAGUUUCCCACUUUGGACCUGCUGCCCUUGGCUCCAAUAGAGGACUUCCAAGUAACUAGGAAGAUUUCACCUCUCUUUUGAAACAUAAUGGACAAAUGUGUUUCUUUAGGAUGAGAGGUGCACCUGGCUAGUCAAUCUUUAUUUUCCUAAAAUAAACAGGAUGAAAACUCAAAACAAAAAGAAAUACCUCAUGGGCAAAAGCUCUCCCAAUACAACUAAUACAGACACUCAACAUGGCUUUGUAGAAACUGACCCCUCUCCCAAGUCUUAUGUUUGUCAGAAUUGCAUGCCUAUUUCAAUCGAAGAAAAGUGAUCUGAUCUCUUCAGAUGAAGGUGGGACUUGGAGAUGCUGCUGCCUAGAGUUAACUUGCCAGAGAAAGGAUAAGCAUUCGGGAAGUGCCAGGAUGGGGUAUCAGCUGAACAAUGGCAGGAUCCCUUCUGCCAGUGGGCUGGCUCAGGGAGUAAACCUCCCCGGAAGGAAUUUUGUUUCUCUCUAGAAUCAAAGUGGGCAAAAUGAUCACCUUAUUCGCCUGGAGUGAACCAGGUUGAAACUGAGAAGGCAGACAUGGGUGAUAAGCCAGAUGAAGUCAUAUGUUAUAACUAAGCUAUGUACCUGUAACUUGCCUGGUAGUUUUUUCAUUCUCUCUAAACAGGUCAUAAUAAGUGUUAGUCUGUGAUCCACUAUGGAGAGAGAUUUCUGGAAAGAAUAGAGGCAGUGGUAGAGGGUCCAAGGUUGUUAUUUAAGGAGAUGAAUGUGGGUCAGGUGCCGUGGCUCACACCUGUAAUCCCAGCAUUUUGGGAGGCAGAGGCAGGAGGAUUGCUUAAGGCCAGAGUUCAAGACCAAACUGGCCAAUAUAGUGAGAUCCCCCCCCCAUCUCUACAAAAGAUAGAAAAACUUAGCCAGGCAUGGUGGCAGGUGCUAUAGUCCCUGCCACCAUGGGACUACAGCUCCUGCAGUCCCAGCUACUCAGGAGUUGAGGCGGAAGGAUUGCUUGAGCCCAGAAGUUCGAGGUUGCAGUGAGCCAUGAUCAUGCCACUGCACUCCUCCGUGGGUGACAGAGCGAGACCUGACUCAAUAAUAAUAAUAUUAAUAAUAAUGAUAAUGCAACACAAACUAUCUUUUACCUCUUGAACAAUGAAUGCAGAUGCCAUGACUACAUCUGUUUGUUGGGGACCAGGGAGGCUGCCAGUGAGGAUUCAGGGUGGAAGUAGUGUGUACCCAAUACCUAUUGUGAGAUGUGGCCUGGGGAGCCCUGAGAUUGCCUGGCCAGGCUCACUCACUACCCAGACACCCUCUUCCUGCAUGGCGAGUCCCUCAGCCCCUCCAAGGCUCAAUUCUCAGACAUCGGAGUAAUCCACAUCCUCCAUCUUGAGUUACUCCUCACAAGGCCUGCAAGUUUUCCUAGGAGGAAGGGAAGACAGGGUUGAACCCACACAAUUCUAGAAUCUAGAAUUUGGAGGAUUUCUAAACCAUUUCUGUAAGUCAGCCCUUGAGAACUUGUAGAUUUUCUCAUCAUUUGCAGCAUGAGAGUCUGGAGUAGACUGUUUGGAUUUGACUCUUGGUUCCUUGGGCAAGUUACUUAACCUCUCAGCUGUGUGUCAGUUUCCUUAUCUAAAAAGUGUGGUUAAUAAUAACUGACCUCUCAGAGGUAUUGUGAGGUUACUGUGAUGAUUAAAUUAGUUGAUUCAUAUAAAAUGUUUAAAAGAGUGCCUGGCAUUAUUAUUAAUAGUAAUAAGUUUAGCAUAAGUCUUGCCUGCCAAUAAGGAGCUGGAUUGAAUGACUACUUUGAUUCUAUUUCUUGGCCUUCUCUUCUCUGGACUAGGUGACCCCAACUUUCUCCUUACUCCUGAAAAAUUUAUCCCAGUCUGCUAAGGAAGAGAAAGCCCAUGUGUGCACAUACACACAUGCACCUACACAAACAUUUACAUACAGUUUUGCUCUUCUAUACAGAGUUAAUAGAGCUACUAGAGUGUCUAGGAACCAAUCUGAAAGAGAAAGGAAACACUGCUUUUUUUUUGUUUGUUUUUUGAGAUGGAGUCUCACUCUGUCACCAGGCUGGAGUGCAGUGGCGCAAUUGUGGCUCACUGCAAACUCCACUUCCCUAGUUCAAAUGAUUCUCCUGCCUCAGCCUCCCGAGUAGCUGGGACUACAGGCGUGCAUCACCACACCCAGCUAAUUUUUGUAUUUUUAGUAGAGAUGGGGUUUCACCAUGUUGGCUAGGAUGGUCUUGAUCUCUUGACCUCGUGAUCUGCCUGCCUCAGCCUCUCAAAGAGCUGGGAUUACAGGCAUGAGUCACCACGCCCGGCCGAAACACUGCUUAUUACAAUUUAUAGGUUUAUGUUCAAAAAGUUGCUAAUCUUAUUGCUGUGAACCCCUGCCAUCUCUAGUCCUGCCCACCUAUAGGUACUGCAGACCAAAUUACAGAUUCAGAUUUGCCCAGUUCCUGUUCCUGUCUUGACCAAUCCUAGUAACUUAUUUGGGGCCCAGCCCCAUCUUCAGUGGAAGGUCUAAAAUUGGCCUUGCUUCCUUAAGCUGGGUACACAGUGGGCCCAGGACUAAGCCUCAUGAAGCUUUUAGAGGCCCACUGAGAUUAACCUUUCUCACCAGUGCUCACCUUGUCUUCCUAGUGACCAUGGCUGCCUUCUGUCUAGUUCUAGAGUUGCACUCUAAUUCUCUUCCAGCGCUGUUGCCCUGAUCUACAUAUCUAUCUCUUUUAGAACUUUCCAGCUUAUGUGUCCAAUGUCAGUCUUUCUUCCAAAUAAAUAGAACUUUAUCUUGAUGAAUAUUUAAUGUUCAACCCACCCCUGGUCCCUGGCUAGAAUCAUCUCUGAAAUGUCUAAAGCUCUGCCACUACCUGCACCAGGAGAAGCAAUGUGUCACCACCAACCUAAUAGCAACCAUCAGCUUUGCUGGAGUUAUCCAUUCACCGAACUGAAUCUAUCAGCUUUCCUGAGUUCACUGGGACACUGAUUUGGACCGGACACCAUCACUUGAGAAACAGCGUUA
This 4432-nucleotide long non-coding RNA is filed under the name Homo sapiens (human). RNAcentral describes it as "non-protein coding LINC00900:3". Lineage: Eukaryota; Metazoa; Chordata; Mammalia; Primates; Hominidae. The record is from RNAcentral.